Bacillus sp. B-jedd is the source of this 336-nucleotide non-coding RNA. The record is from Rfam. NCBI's taxonomy places the organism in Bacteria, Bacillati, Bacillota, Bacilli, Caryophanales, Bacillaceae.
UUACAACUCUUGAGAUAAUGAUUUAAGGGCGUCUAGUUUGGUAACGAACUAGAGUAUAACUGGGUGAAUUGCUGGAACUUCCUAAAGCUUCAUCAACCACAACGUAAUUGGAAACGAUUAGCGUAAAGGUUUGAAAAUGAUGGAGAUGAACCAAUGGAUAAUCAGCAGCCAAGCUCCUGUGAGGAAACUCUGGAGAAGGUUCAACGACUAGAGAACACGGUCUAAGGCGAAUGCUAUGGCUAUGAAUCUCGUAGGGCAGCCAAUGCUGUUCGAAGUGCCCAGCUCCAUGAAAACUGUGGAUGAAGAUAUAGUCUAUUCUGUACUCGAAAGAUACAG